This 885-nucleotide ribosomal RNA is filed under the name Pratylenchus coffeae. Its description in RNAcentral is "partial large subunit ribosomal RNA". It matches the Rfam family "Eukaryotic large subunit ribosomal RNA", at positions 276 to 1209 of the family's 3401-position model. Lineage: Eukaryota; Metazoa; Nematoda; Chromadorea; Rhabditida; Pratylenchidae. The record is from RNAcentral.
GUCAGUAUUGACUGCAGGCGGCCGCGAUAUCGAAUUCGCGUGUCGCCCUUUACAAGUACCGUGAGGGAAAGUUGAAAAGCACUUUGAAGAGAGAGUUAAAGAGGACGUGAAACCGAUGAGAUGGAAACGGACAGAGCUAGCGUAUCUGGCCUGCAUUCAGCUUGUGCGGUCGCUACCGAUGAAUCGCUGAUCUCCAGAUUGGGACUGUUGACUAGUCGGUCGGUGGCUGUAUAGUGCAUUUGCAGGUGGAGUGCGUCGAGGCAUCCGGGAUGGCGGCAUGAACUCAGCUUUGAGGCCAGCUUGCUGGUACCCGGGCUGGGGGACUUUGUGCUGUUCGUUCUGGGUGUUCACACACAAUUGAAGGGGGCUUUGGUAGGGUGCCGAGCUGGGUGUCGGUGGCGGUCGCUUGCGACACGUACUGUGCACACAGUUCGGUCCUUGCCGAGCUCACUCCAUCUAUCUCGGCGUAAAAGCUGGUCAUCUUUCCGACCCGUCUUGAAACACGGACCAAGGAGUUUAUCGUGUGCGCGAGUCAUUGGGCGUUCAAAACCCAAAGGCGCAAUGAAAGUGAACGUUUCCGUUAGGAGCCAACGUGCGAUCCUGGUCACCACGGUGGCCGGGCGCAGCAUGGCCCCAUCCUGACUGCUUGCAGUGGGGUGGAGGAAGAGCGUACGCGGUGAGACCCGAAAGAUGGUGAACUAUUCCUGAGCAGGAUAAAGCCAGAGGAAACUCUGGUGGAAGUCCGAAGCGAUUCUGACGUGCAAAUCGAUCGUCUGACUUGGGUAUAGGGGCGAAAGACUAAUCGAACCAUCUAGUAGCUGGUUCCUUCCGAAAGGGCGACACGCGAAUUCGAUAUCAAGCUUCAGGACUGCAGCGAGCCUCAGA